Glycine soja is the source of this 117-nucleotide non-coding RNA. NCBI's taxonomy places the organism in Eukaryota, Viridiplantae, Streptophyta, Magnoliopsida, Fabales, Fabaceae. The record is from Rfam.
AGCCGUGUAGUGAAUACAAAGCGAACUAUUCUUUCGCCUUUUACUAAAGAAUACCGUGUAUUCUCUACUUUAAGCGGCAUACGCCUAUUUUUGGAAGAGCAUUCCUUUUGGAAAGCU